UUCAUUAUUAUGUCCAAAAAAAACAAAAACGAGGCAUCCACUCCCGUCUUUUUCUCAUCGCAUCGAAAUUCGAAAUCCUCUCUCUCUCUCUCUCUCUCUCUCUCUGUCCUCCAAAUCACAAAUCACAAUUCUCGAUUCACAGCAAAUAGAUCUAGACAUGCAAUUUGUAGCUGAUUCGCCAUCAAAGAAUAUCAAAUUAUAAGCUUUUCAAGAAAUCUGCGAUCUUAUCAGUAUGUUGUUUGGUUGCUCUGCAAAUUAGAGAACCCGAUUAUGACAGUAAAAAUGUAUGUUUUCUCAUUUUUUUCUUAUCUUUUUGUCUUUUGGGUUUAUUUGGUUUUGAUAUGUUUAUUUCAUCAUAAAAGUAAAAGCUUACAUAUAUGAGAGUUAACUUACGAAGAAAUUUUCAGUAAAAAGCUGAGUGGAGAGCCAAAAUAAUGGAUUUUGUCUCUUUGGAUUAUCUUAUUUUAUACUAGUAUAACUGAUUUUGUCAAAAGAAUAUUUGGAUGAACUGAUUUAAAUUUGGAAAAUCCAAAAAGAAAUCUACAUUGAGAUUGCAUUUAUAUGUGAAUUAACAUCAUAAGAACUCUCCAAUGCAAAAAGAAAAAUGGAGAACAGUUUCAAUAUUAGCUCACAAGUUCAAUGGAGCACUUAAAAGCAGGGUUUUUAGUGCCUGUUUGGGUGAGGGGCUGCAAAUUUGAUUUUAUAUUAUCUUGAUUUUGCUAAUUGAUUAUUUGUAAUGUUAGUUUUGCUGAACAUUAUAUUUUUAUUGCCCCUUGUUUGUUAUCAUGAGAAAUUUUGGAUCUAGAUCUUUAUUCUUUUACAAUAGGAUUCUGAUGGAACUAAAUUUAAAUGUCAACUAUUGGUUGUUUAAUGCUUGACACAGGAUUGUUUGAAGUUGUUUUCAUGCUUAAAGGUUUAUUUUUCUGUCCCUUACCACACACAAGUAUCACGUGCUUGACAAGCGUCUUCUGGUAUUUGAUAGUUUGAUGAUCAUAUUUCUGUCUUGAAAUAUUGCUGUUAUAGAUGUUUAUUUCAUUUUAUAUUAGUUUUAUAUGUCGGAGGCCUAAUAAAAGUUAUGGUUGCAAAUCUAGUCUUAAGAAGAAAUUUGCCCAUAUGCUAUUGAUGAUUGUAAAGCUGCCAAAAAUUUCAAAUAUUGCAUGAUGAUAGGUGUGUUCAAUUUUGAGAUACUGUAACAGUGUUCAGAUUUGAAAGGUAUAAUAACACAUCUAUUUGAAAGGUAUAAGAACACAUAUCCCUUCUGGUUUUGAUGAAAUCAAAGUUUGAUAUGUAA
This is a non-coding RNA of Cicer arietinum (chickpea), 1291 nucleotides long. NCBI's taxonomy places the organism in Eukaryota, Viridiplantae, Streptophyta, Magnoliopsida, Fabales, Fabaceae. The record is from RefSeq and is a predicted model, not a curated record.